RNAcentral lists this ribosomal RNA (497 nucleotides) under uncultured bacterium. RNAcentral describes it as "partial 16S ribosomal RNA". It matches the Rfam family "Bacterial small subunit ribosomal RNA", at positions 28 to 507 of the family's 1533-position model. The record is from RNAcentral.
GACGAACGCUGGCGGCGUGCCUAAUACAUGCAAGUAGAACGCUGAAGAGAGGAGCUUACUCUUCUUGGAUGAGUUGCGAACGGGUGAGUAACGCGUAGGUAACCUGCCUUGUAGCGGGGGAUAUCUAUUGGAAACGAUAGCUAAUACCGCAUAACAAUGGAUGACACAUGUCAUUUAUUUGAAAGGGGCAAUUGCUCCACUACAAGAUGGACCUGCGUUGUAUUAGCUAGUAGGUGAGGUAAUGGCUCACCUAGGCGACGAUACAUAGCCGACCUGAGAGGGUGAUCGGCCACACUGGGACUGAGACACGGCCCAGACUCCUACGGGAGGCAGCAGUAGGGAAUCUUCGGCAAUGGGGGCAACCCUGACCGAGCAACGCCGCGUGAGUGAAGAAGGUUUUCGGAUCGUAAAGCUCGGUUGUAAGUCAAGAACGGGUGUGAGAGUGGAAAGUUCACACUGUGACGGUAGCUUACCAGAAAGGGACGGCUAACUACGUG